This 80-nucleotide transfer RNA is filed under the name Schistosoma haematobium. It matches the Rfam family "tRNA". Rfam says of the family: Transfer RNA (tRNA) molecules are approximately 80 nucleotides in length. Their secondary structure includes four short double-helical elements and three loops (D, anti-codon, and T loops). Further hydrogen bonds mediate the characteristic L-shaped molecular structure. tRNAs have two regions of fundamental functional importance: the anti-codon, which is responsible for specific mRNA codon recognition, and the 3' end, to which the tRNAs corresponding amino acid is attached (by aminoacyl-tRNA synthetases). tRNAs cope with the degeneracy of the genetic code in two manners: having more than one tRNA (with a specific anti-codon) for a particular amino acid; and 'wobble' base-pairing, i.e. permitting non-standard base-pairing at the 3rd anti-codon position. Lineage: Eukaryota; Metazoa; Platyhelminthes; Trematoda; Strigeidida; Schistosomatidae. The record is from Rfam by way of RNAcentral.
GGUGGAGUGGCUGAGUGGUCCAAGGCGCUGGUUCAAAGCACCAGUCCGAAAGGGCAUGGGUUCGAAUUCUACCUCCAUCA